Unclassified non-coding RNA from Papio anubis (olive baboon), 148 nucleotides. It matches the Rfam family "Metazoan signal recognition particle RNA". From Rfam's summary of the family: The signal recognition particle (SRP) is a universally conserved ribonucleoprotein. It is involved in the co-translational targeting of proteins to membranes. Lineage: Eukaryota; Metazoa; Chordata; Mammalia; Primates; Cercopithecidae. The record is from Ensembl.
GCUGGGCGUGGUGGCGGAUGCCUGUAAUCCCAGCUACUCAGGAGGCUGAGGCAGGAGAGUCACUUGAACCUGGGAGGCAGAGGUUGCAGUGAGCUGAGACUGUGCCACUGCACUCCAGCCUGGGUGACAGAGUGAGAUCCUGUCUUUA